UCGAGCGCGCCCUUCGGGGUGAGCGGCGGACGGGUUUAGUAACGCGUGGGAACGUGCCCUUCUCUAAGGAAUAGCCACUGGAAACGGUGAGUAAUACCUUAUACGCCCUUCGGGGGAAAGAUUUAUCGGAGAAGGAUCGGCCCGCGUUAGAUUAGAUAGUUGGUGGGGUAAUGGCCUACCAAGUCUACGAUCUAUAGCUGGUUUUAGAGGAUGAUCAGCAACACUGGGACUGAGACACGGCCCAGACUCCUACAGGAGGCAGCAGUGGGGAAUCUUGGACAAUGGGCGCAAGCCUGAUCCAGCCAUGCCGCGUGAGUGAAGAAGGCCUUCGGGUUGUAAAGCUCUUUUGUCAGGGAAGAAACGGUGAAGGCUAAUAUCCUUUGCUAAUGACGGUACCUGAAGAAUAAGCACCGGCUAACUACGUGCCAGCAGCCGCGGUAAU
This 442-nucleotide ribosomal RNA is filed under the name uncultured bacterium. RNAcentral's name for it is "bacterial SSU rRNA". It matches the Rfam family "Bacterial small subunit ribosomal RNA", at positions 62 to 524 of the family's 1533-position model. The record is from RNAcentral.